Molecule: ribosomal RNA, 447 nt
Filed under: uncultured bacterium
Lineage: Bacteria
Description: partial 16S ribosomal RNA
Rfam family: Bacterial small subunit ribosomal RNA
Source: RNAcentral
AACGAACGCUGGCGGCAGGCUUAAGACAUGCAAGUCGAACGCCCCGCAAGGGGAGUGGCAGACGGGUGAGUAACACGUGGGAACGUGCCCGAAGGUACGGAACAACUCCGGGAAACUGGAGCUAAUACCGUAUGUGACCGAGAGGUGAAAGAUUUAUCGCCUUCGGAUCGGCCCGCGUCAGAUUAGCUUGUUGGUGGGGUAAUGGCCUACCAAGGCUACGAUCUGUAGCUGUUCUGAGAGGAAGAUCAGCCACAUUGGGACUGAGACACGGCCCAAACUCCUACGGGAGGCAGCAGUCGGGAAUAUUGGACAAUGGGCGCAAGCCUGAUCCAGCCAUGCCGCGUGAGUGACGAAGGCCUUAGGGUUGUAAAACUCUUUCGCACGUGACGAUAAUGACGGUAACGUGAGAAGAAGCUCCGGCUAACUUCGUGCCAGCCGCCGCGGUAA